Molecule: ribosomal RNA, 497 nt
Filed under: uncultured bacterium
Lineage: Bacteria
Description: partial 16S ribosomal RNA
Rfam family: Bacterial small subunit ribosomal RNA
Source: RNAcentral
GAUGAACGCUGGCGGCGUGCCUAAUACAUGCAAGUCGAGCGAACAGACGAGGAGCUUGCUCCUCUGACGUUAGCGGCGGACGGGUGAGUAACACGUGGAUAACCUACCUAUAAGACUGGGAUAACUUCGGGAAACCGGAGCUAAUACCGGAUAAUAUAUUGAACCGCAUGGUUCAAUAGUGAAAGACGGUUUUGCUGUCACUUAUAGAUGGAUCCGCGCCGCAUUAGCUAGUUGGGAAGGUAACGGGUUACCAAGGCAACGAUGCGUAGCCGACCUGAGAGGGUGAUCGGCCACACUGGAACUGAGACACGGUCCAGACUCCUACGGGAGGCAGCAGUAGGGAAUCUUCCGCAAUGGGCGAAAGCCUGACGGAGCAACGCCGCGUGAUUGAUGAAGGUCUUCGGAUCGUAAAACUCUGUUAUUAGGGAAGAACAAAUGUGUAAGUAACUAUGCACGUCUUGACGGUACCUAAUCAGAAAGCCACGGCUAACUACGUG